AGCCGCAGUACUCUGACUGUGCAAAGGUAGCAUAAUCAGUUGGCUUUUAAUUAAAGUCUAGUAUGAAUGAAAGUAUGGGUGGUAACUGUCUUAGCAUAUUAAUUCGAAAUUAUUAAGCAAGUGCAAAUACUUGCAAGGUUAAAAAAGACGAGAAGACCCUAGAAACUUAAAUUAGCUUUUGUUGGGGCGACAGAAUUACAUUUAACUAAUUCUUAAAACAUGACAUUUCAUUGAAAGAAUAAGUUACUCUAGGGAUAACAGCAUAAUUUUAACAGUUUGUGACCUCGAUGUUGGACUAGGUAUUAUACCCUUAAGGCAAGGGUAUAAGAUGCUCUGUUCGAGCAAUUCCACCUACGUGAUCUGA
This 364-nucleotide ribosomal RNA is filed under the name Helix ligata. RNAcentral describes it as "partial 16S ribosomal RNA". It matches the Rfam family "Bacterial large subunit ribosomal RNA", at positions 1929 to 2608 of the family's 2925-position model. The record is from RNAcentral. Lineage: Eukaryota; Metazoa; Mollusca; Gastropoda; Stylommatophora; Helicidae.